Myotis brandtii (Brandt's bat) is the source of this 1368-nucleotide long non-coding RNA. RefSeq lists it as uncharacterized. NCBI's taxonomy places the organism in Eukaryota, Metazoa, Chordata, Mammalia, Chiroptera, Vespertilionidae. The transcript is spliced from 3 exons. The record is from RefSeq and is a predicted model, not a curated record.
UCAGGUAGACCUGACGGGCGCUGCGCAGCACCAGGGAGACCAGCAGGUUCUUGUGCAGCUUGAUGCCGCCCCGCUGGACCCGCGAGUUGUAGAUCUUGCCCAGCGAGAUGCUGACGAUUCGGUGCGCCUCCAGCUUGAACUCCAUCCCGCCUGCCGACCCUUCUCCGGGGGACGGGCGCGGGGGUGACGGCUGAGCCCGGGCUCCCGGUCACACGCGGGGAGAGGAGUCGGAGGCCUCAGGAAGUCGGCCCCAGGGGUGGACCCUCGGUAACUGAAGACGACGCCGAGAGACCAAUUUCGAUGACGCGCUCACUGACCCCUACGUCCCCUCCAGUGCAGACAAACGCCCAGCCUCCCGUCCGGUCGCUAACUGAGGGCAGCCCUACCGCCCGGCGCUUUAUAUAAGCUCCCCGCCCGCCAAUCGCGAAGGGCCGCCACGCCCUCACGAGCUGCGCGCGGCCAAUCGGAGCCCGGGGAGGGGCGCCAGAGCCAUUCGAACGUUAGUCCCGCGGAGCAGGCUCUUAAAGGGGACGCGGUGGGCAAGCGGCGAGAGACAGGCGGGGGGGGGGCCUGGGCUCAGAAAGUAGGUGAUAGCGGAGGAGGCUUAGCCCCUGUAUUGUUUGUAGGAAAAGGUUCUGGCUUGGGCGCUGGCUUGCCAGAACCAAAGCAAAACAAACCAUUGGAACUUGCAUCGUGCAGGUGGACUUUGCUCUGCAAUCAAGUCCGGAUCCUUGCCUCAUCACCCCACGCCCCACCUCCAUUUCCAAGGCGGCGCACACCUGAAAGGCUCUGGUCACCCCUGGCAGAAGUGGAGAUGACAGCAAAACGUGGCAAGGGAUACCCUCGGAUAACAACAUAGUAUUACUGCAAGAAGACAGAAAGAAUGAGAUCACUUCCAUAAUCGGACCAUGCAUAUUUCCAAGAUUCCAAGCUACCAGGCAGAGAUGCCAGAAGAAUGGGACACUUUGGCUUUCUCUCGGGCCAGGAAAUAUGUGAAGUGAUCCGGCUAUUCACAGGGCACUGUAGAAACUCGCUGGCUGCUCUCAGGGGUGGUCCAAGGCUGUCCGUAGGGUCACAGUCAUGGCACCCACGGUUCAAAGCUCUUGCAUAAUACAUUCUCAUGAUGGAAGAAAAAGGCCACUUCAUGAUGUAGUGAGGUGCUCUUCACUGGUGGUAUUCAAGUGGAGCCUGGAUGCUCAAGUCAAAGGCACUGGAGAAGACAUUGCUGGCCUUCAUAUGGAAGGAUCUCUCCAGCUCUGAGAUUCUCUAAUUUACUUGUAAAUCGUUGACAGAUGGGAUGUAGGGUAGUGCUGUAUCAUGAGACAAAGCAAAAGUUUGAGCCAAAUGUGAUAAAGGAGUCCAUCAAAA